This is a non-coding RNA of Brassica rapa (field mustard), 113 nucleotides long. Lineage: Eukaryota; Viridiplantae; Streptophyta; Magnoliopsida; Brassicales; Brassicaceae. The record is from Rfam.
AGAAUAUGAUAUUGAGCCAAAGAUGACUUGCCGAUUUUACCGAUUAUUCUAAAACUGAUAUUGGUACUGAAAUUGGUAGCCGGCAAGUUGACUUUGGCUCUGUUUCAUUCUCU